UACGUAGGGUGCGAGCGUUAAUCGGAAUUACUGGGCGUAAAGCGUGCGCAGGCGGUUUUGUAAGUCAGAUGUGAAAUCCCCGGGCUUAACCUGGGAACUGCGUUUGAAACUGGAAGGCUAGUGUGUGGCAGAGGGGGGUGGAAUUCCACGUGUAGCAGUGAAAUGCGUAGAGAUGUGGAGGAACACCGAUGGCGAAGGCAGCCCCCUGGGCUAACACUGACGCUCAUGCACGAAAGCGUGGGGAGCAAACAGG
RNAcentral lists this ribosomal RNA (253 nucleotides) under uncultured bacterium. Its description in RNAcentral is "partial 16S ribosomal RNA". It matches the Rfam family "Bacterial small subunit ribosomal RNA", at positions 524 to 776 of the family's 1533-position model. The record is from RNAcentral.